AGAAUGGGGCUUGCUUACUGAAUAACAAAAUCUGAGGCUGGAAAUGCAGCUCAGCUAGCAUGUGAUCCUCUGCCCCUCAUAAGCCAGACUAGGUGUCCCAUGCCUGGAACUAGGGAGUCGCAGGCAGAAGAAUUAGAAGUUCAAGGCCAUCCUUGGUUAUGAUGCAAGUUCAAAGUCAAUCUGGACUACAGGAUACACUGUUUCAAAAGAACAAGGAGAAGGAAGAAGAAGGGGAGGAGAAUGGGCCAGGGAGGCAAAUUCCAAGGGAAGCAUUAGCAUGCUUUAUACCUGGGAGUGAGAUGUUGUGUUUGUUGAAGAGUCAGUCAAGAAGGGAGUACAGAACUGAUUUGUUCUGUGCAUCUGUGGCCAGUUGAAGUUUCUAAAUGUGUCAGGAAAGGAGGCUUGAAGAGCAGGCUGUGUGUGCAGGACACUCAAGCAACAUUAUUCACAUUAUUCAGAGAGAGAGAGAGAGAGAGCUCAUAACUUACCCUAUAAAACCACCUAGCACCACCAAGGCCCCUUUAAGGCUCAGGUACCUGCAGCUGGAAAUCAAAUCCACUGCAUACACAAGAGCAGAAAACUCAUGAGACGGCAAGGAUUUGCCCGUGAGGAUGUGGUUGGGGAAAGGGGCCCACCCUGUGUGCCUCACGCUCUAUCAAUUAUCUCCUUUAGUUAGAGCCUUGCAAACAGCUCUUUAAGAUGACGAUUACAGUCUUCGCAGAGCUUGCGAUUGCUAUUACUGUGUGCCUGUGGCCUCUCCCCUGGUAAUUGCAGAGUUCAGUCUGGAAAACCCACAUUCUCUGCUUCCUCUCACUAAGACCCCCGGCACGCCGGCUGUUUAAACAACACUCACUUUCCCUGACUCCUCAGUGUCCUGUUUUUCACCCUUGACCCUGUCAAGCCUGAGAACUGAGAUCUGGCCAGGUCCAUCUGGCCUACAGGUUCGAGUCUUCACGGUGCAGGUCACACCACUGCCUGGACUCCACCAAUGGUCACCAUGGGUGACCAGCUCUGUCUACUGUAGCUACCAAACUGCUGGUGUCAGCUUGUACUUCCAUCCAAGCUGGGUGGGGAAGUGGUCUCCAUGGUUCCCUUUAUCUCCACAGCGUGAAAGCCGACAGAACAAGCCUGAGUGCGGUGGAUGCUGGGGGAAUCCAUUGUAAGGACUGCCCGCCUGGAUUUUCCCCCAUUUGGUCUUCCCAAUAAGCUUAAUGUUGCCAGCUCUGUUUUCGGGAUGUAAAGAAAAGCAAUGGAGACAAAGGGAACUGAACUUGAUCAGUUUGACACCAUGCCAUCCCUUCAGGCUUCGACAGAGCAAGGAAGCGAGAGCAGAGGGGUUAGGUUGCAGACAGUGAGCGCGGCAAAGCUUGAGCCAACAUGUUCUAAUCCUCGCCCUUCCUGAGUUCACAGAUGCUGGUCUAAGAGGAACGAGGAGACAGUUACAUCGGCAGAUGUCUCUUUAUGACUCCGUCACCCACUGUCAGUCAAUACGGUGCAUGGGCAAGUCAUCACAUCUAAAUCACAGGUUCUGCAGACAAGGCUCUUUUAGAGACUGUAGAUGCUCAGGGUGCAGUCACCUCAAGCACCAAGGUGAGAAGGAGGUGGACUGUCCAUCCUUCGGAGCCGCAAGCAUGAGCUAUAAGAGCAGCACAGUCAGGAUGCUGAGCACCGGUACAGAUGGUUCAGAUCUAGAACCUUUUGUUCUGGAUCACGAAGGUCCUGCUCACGAAGAUCUAGACUCUUUGGAGAGAUGGAAAGCUAAAAAGACUGAGGAGAACAAGAGGAGAGAUCUUCAAAUAGCAAUCAAAGAUGGAACAACACAAAGCACCUGAGAGAAGGUGUGGGGCAUCCUAAGUGUCGGAGGGAAGGAUGCUGCCGUUGGCAUUUUGAGCAAAGAGCUGUUUCGGAAUCCUAUCCCUGCUGCCUGGAGUCUAAUUGGGUGUUACCUGGGGCACUAGAGACAUUUGCAACCUGCUUUGCCCAGUGCUGAGUGUCACCAUCCAGAAGCAGUGCUGGCUGGACUCACACACGCAGCCAGGGAAGCAGCUACCACCCAAAGAGAAACAUCAUAGCCUAGACUUUCCCUACAUGCAAUUCUUUCCAGAAAGGAAAUCUGCCAAGAGGCAAGAGCUACUGAGAACAGGGAGCGGAGAUGGCAUAUUGGAGCCAUGUGGGGAAAGUUGAUUUCUUGGCAGUGCCCACACCCCAAGAUAGCAGAGAAAUUAAAUGCAUAGCAAAGGGGGGUCCCUUAUUCCCAACCCCAGGCAUCUAGGGGAAGCAUGUCUGUCUCCUCUGGAACUCAAAGACAGUAGGCUGGUCCACGCAAGUUUCCCUGUGAGGACUUACAUGCAGCCAGUCUCUCCCCAGCCCUCCCCACUAACUUUGGGCAUUCCUACUCCCCACACGCACCAAAUUAGCCUGAGUGUCAAUCCAAAACCCAAGGCAAGGAAACGCAAGCCUGGAAGCUAGCAGCCAGGUGCUCUGAGUGCCCUCCCCCCUCAGAGCUCAAUUCACACACACGCGCCUCUCCUCGGUGGAGCCUGAGGCAGGCUCAUUUCCCCUUAGGUUGUCACAGACCAAUUUUCUAAACUGCAUGAAAACAGAAAACAAACAGAAAACUAAAUCCACCAAAGCCCGAGUCUCAGGAACAGCUUGGCAGGCCCGAGUAACGUGCUAACAAUUUCAUGCUGUUUUAAGACUUUCUAACUAAGCAACAACCAGAUGUGCCCUGAUACAAGAAAAAAAAAAAAAAAAAAUCAGCUUCUAGGGACAGAGAUUUGUAAAACAG
This is a non-coding RNA of Peromyscus maniculatus bairdii (prairie deer mouse), 2788 nucleotides long. The record is from RefSeq and is a predicted model, not a curated record. Lineage: Eukaryota; Metazoa; Chordata; Mammalia; Rodentia; Cricetidae.